CUCAUUUUUCUACUGCUCGUGGUAAGUGGCUUCGUGGUCUUUAUAGCUGUUACUCUUUUGUACUUUGUCUUUUUCUUUUAUUUUCUUUUGAGCGAUUGUGCGAACAUAGCAUAGCACGCACUAUGCCUUCUGUGUUGUAGCUGCCUGGCCAGGGCGACUGGCGGAUAAGGUCUUGUGCGUGGCCUCGAGGCUUAAAAGUAGCAGUGGGGCUUUGUGAAGGACAAAAUGGCGAUGGCGGGCCGUGUAGGUCCCCCUUCCUAUGAUGAGGACCUUUUCACAGACCUGUACUGAGCUCCGUGAGGAUAAAUAACUCUGAGGAGAUGGGCCCUGCAAGCCUCUUGCUUAGCCGUCUGUUCAGAAAAUAGCGUUUUCGAAAUGCCCUGAGUUGACCUAAUGUCUUAUUGGGCUCCUGUCUGCAGGAUUUACGCGCACGUUGGAACCGAAGAGAGCUCUGUUGUUGCAGUAAGUUCUUACGGCCAUUUCUUAAUCUCUGCUCUUUCGUUGAGUGUGUGGAAGUUGCUACGGGGAUGAUUUUACGAACUGAACUCUCUCUUUCUGAUGGAUUAGUGGAGAAAACAGAAAAUUCUGAGUAGCACUGUACUGUACGCAACAAAUGUCAGGGCCCUAUUGAUUUGUCUGAGGUGUUAGUGAAGGGUGUUAUUUUUUCAGAUGUUCAGCCCACAAGAGCUUACUGGUGAAGGAAUGGGACAAGACCCAUCUUUAUGCAAAGCCAGCGUUACAGUAAUGUUCCAGCAUCUCAUAAUCUAUCCUGGGGAAUUCAGCUGCCUCCCAGGGUGAAUACAGGUAUUCCUGAUGACAGUCUGCCUCUAUCUUACAGUAAGUUGUUUUUCGAAUUCUAUGGGCCUAUUAUCUAAUAGAUAACUUAGCCAUUUUGAUAUUUGUUACCAAAGCCUGCUUAACCCAUAAAGUUUUCUGGUUCCUCUUGUUCUCUGUAGUGAUGUUUCUAGAUAGAUGCCCACUGAUAUAUGCCCCUUUUUUCUCAGAUAGAUGCCCACUGAUCUGCCCAGGGUCAGACGAAUGCUUGUCAGUUGUAGCUUUCCAGGAUUCUGCUCCAAUGAGGAGGAAACAUCCUGCCUUACCCCUGUUUUAGCCUGGGAACCAGUAAUUGUGAACUCACCAGGGUUAACAUGAAGAGGGCAUGAGAGCUUAUUCCAUAAGGAAUUGUCUGAGACAUUUGGUUACCUUUUCUUAGUUUGUCCAUUAGCAACCGUAACUAAAAUAGUUUUGGCUGUUUGGGAUAAUUAGCUAAUUGAAUGAUUUUUUGAUUCAGGAGCAGCUUGUUGCUAUAUACCAUUGAAAAGCCUUCAGAGCUGAGAGGUUAGUUGAUAUUUUUUGUUCCUUACAGCUUAUGCCACCAAGUAGGCAGUUUCUAUGAUGAAUCAAACUAGCUCACUAUGACCGACAGUGAAAAUACAUGAACACCUGAGAAACUGGAGAACGCAGGGAGUGGGGGGUAACCAUGUCUGAGGAAUCUUUCACCCACAGCUUUGUUUUUCUCUAGGUACUACUAACCAAUAACCUGCUUGGCUCAAAGGGCCAGCACCUUCUCUCUAAAGCCCAAGAGGAGUUUGAGGAAAACUAGGUGUCUGUGUUCACUCCAGGCUGAAGUUACAGGUCUGAGCAAAUAAGGUGUAUAAAAAAUGGAAUCUGUCUUGGAGGACAUCAGAAGGUGAAUUUUCCAAGUUCUUGGACAACCUAGCUGUUGAAAAGCUUUCUGGGUUUGGGGGGUAUUUCAGAUGUACCUUAAAGUGUUAGCAGACACAGAUUAAGACACUGGGAGCCAAUGAAACAGCAGUUGAGGGUUUGCUGUGUAUCACAUUUCUGUAUUUUAUCACCCCCUUCCUGCAACAUUAUUUAUCUGGAAUCUACCUGCCCUUUUGUUUUUUAGAUACAAGGGCUUGGUUUUGUUACCCAGGCUGGUUUCAAGGCCAUAGCUUUAAGAGAUCCUCUCACCACAGAUUUCCAAAGUGCUGGGAUUGCAGGUGUGAUUCAUGGCACCCAGACUUUGCUGCCUUUCUUACAUGAUCCAGGCCCAGAACCCAAACUCAGGCACUGUAUAGAUGACCACUUUCGUAAACUACUGACCUAGCUUGUUGCCAAUUGUUGAUUGAACUUCCCAUAACUCCACUUCGUGUCUGUUCCUCUGUAUACAGCCACCUUCUGUUCCCGUCAUGAGCCUUUAGGUCUCCAUUUGCAUAUUGCAAAUACUAUGUUCCAUGUAGGUAGCUCAUUCAGGGCCUUGCUCUUCACUUCAAAAAAGGUUCCCUUGAGGACUGGCUGUCAAUUUGUGUUGCUGUGUUGGUUGUUGAUGAAAAUAAUAAAAU
This 2345-nucleotide long non-coding RNA is filed under the name Homo sapiens (human). Lineage: Eukaryota; Metazoa; Chordata; Mammalia; Primates; Hominidae. The record is from RNAcentral.